GGGGCUGAUUAUGGAUUCGACGAAAUAAACAAAACUAAAGAUGCAUGUCGAGCAGAGGUGGACUCGUAAAACCUCAAAUUGAUAAUUGCAAAACAUAAGUACAACGAGCCUGCUCUAUUAGCAGCUUAAUUAGAAUAAAAUCUUAGGCUCCUUCUUAGAUAUAUUAUCUCUAGAUGUAUCAAUAGAAGUCAAAAUUAGAGAUCGCGAUAUGAACGGGCUUGUACGUUCCUACGCUAAAAUAAUACAAGAUAAUUUUUAGUUCACACUUCUUUCUGUAGAACUAAAAAUAUUUAAGAAAGAAUAAACAUGUAGUAUCAAUAGAAUUGAAGUUUCGGACGCGGGUUCAAAUCCCGCCAGCUCCAUAU
The sequence is a non-coding RNA, 365 nucleotides long. It matches the Rfam family "transfer-messenger RNA". Rfam says of the family: Bacterial tmRNA, also known as 10Sa RNA or SsrA, is named for its dual tRNA and mRNA-like properties. Its role is to liberate the mRNA from a stalled ribosome. The record is from Rfam.